Non-coding RNA from Equus caballus (horse), 326 nucleotides. Lineage: Eukaryota; Metazoa; Chordata; Mammalia; Perissodactyla; Equidae. The record is from Rfam.
GGAUGUGAGGGUGAUCUGGCUACGACAUGUCACCCCAUUGAUCGCCAGGGUCGAUUUGGCUGAUCUGGCUGGCUAGGCGGGUCUCCCCUUCCUCCCUCACUGCUCCACGUGCAACCCUCCUGAAGCUGUGCUCUGUCAAGAGGACACCCUUCCCUGAUAGAGGAGGAUCAUUCUUUGGUCAAGGGUAUAUGAGUAGCCGUGCUACCCUUCCAGGACCUCCAAAUAAGCUCUCAAGGUCCAUUUGUAGGAGAACAUAGGGUAGUCAAGCGUCCAAGACUCCAGACACAUCCAAAUGAGGCGCUGCAUGUGGCAGUCUGCCUCUCUUA